RNAcentral lists this ribosomal RNA (406 nucleotides) under uncultured bacterium. RNAcentral's name for it is "partial 16S ribosomal RNA". It matches the Rfam family "Bacterial small subunit ribosomal RNA", at positions 30 to 526 of the family's 1533-position model. The record is from RNAcentral.
AUUGAACGCUGGCGGCAGGCCUAACACAUGCAAGUCGAGCGAGAGGCGGACGGGUGGGUAAUGUAUGGGCAUCUGACCGAUGGAGGGGGAUAGCUACUGGAAACGGUGGCUAAUAACGCAUACUAUCGGCUGAGCCCAUAUGGGUUUAGCUAGUGGGUGGGGUAAAGGCUCACCAAGGCGACGAUCUCUAGCUGGUCUGAGAGGAUGAUCAGCCACACUGGAACUGAGACACGGCCCAGACUCCUACGGGAGGCAGCAGUGGGGAAUAUUGGACAAUGGGCGAAAGCCUGAUGCAGCCAUGCCGCGUGUGUGAAGAAGGCCUUCGGGUUGUAAAGUACUUUAAGUUGGGAGGCGUUACCCGCAGAAGAAGCACCGGCUAACUCCGUGCCAGCAGCCGCGGUAAUAC